ACAAAAAAGCGCCAGCUCUUUAGAAAUAAUUUAUAAAAAUAAAUUAAUGGCUAAAGAAGACGAGGAAAAGGGUUAUCGAAGUAAUCGGCGGAUGCUCUUUAGGUGGUUACAGCCUUAAUAAUAUACAAAAAUUUCAAGUAAUUGGGAUUACAAAAUUAUUAU
This 162-nucleotide non-coding RNA is filed under the name Leptotrichia wadei. RNAcentral's name for it is "glmS glucosamine-6-phosphate activated ribozyme". It matches the Rfam family "glmS glucosamine-6-phosphate activated ribozyme aptamer", at positions 10 to 156 of the family's 167-position model. From Rfam's summary of the family: This entry contains a glucosamine-6-phosphate activated ribozyme that is found in the mRNA for GlmS. The record is from RNAcentral. Lineage: Bacteria; Fusobacteriati; Fusobacteriota; Fusobacteriia; Fusobacteriales; Leptotrichiaceae.